GGAGGGAGGGAGCUAAAGAGCGAGCAGGCGAGCGAGGGAGGGAGAGAGAGAGAGAGAGAGAGAGAGAGAGGGGGAGAGCGCCAGAGAGAGAGAGGGGGAGAGGGAGGGGGGGGGAGGGAGGGAGGAGGAGGAGGAAAAAUAAAGAGGAGAGAACGGAGCAGGGCUGAACAAUAGAGACAGGCAGACGGGAGAGAAGGAGGACCAGCUGCUGCUGCUGUAGGAGGAGAGCUGGAGGCUGAGGCAUCUUGGACCCCUGUCCCUGAGCCAGAGAGGAGGCAAGCAGCCCGGUGGAGGGAACUGGCUACCAUGGGGGAGCCAGCAGAAGGCUCCCCCAGCCCUCCCCGAGCCUCUGCUUGAAGCUGUGCAUCAUCUCCUCCGGCUCCGCUGCCCCCAUCCCGCGCCUGCCCGCCCUCGAAACCCCAAUUCCUUAGGAUCUGAUCGCCUCAGCUUCUGGGCACCGGGUCUCCGCCGCCCCCGCCCCCGCCCCCACGGAGGAGACGAGACGCCGGCCCUCCGUUUCACCUCCCGGGGGCUGUCCGCAAAGCCCCCUCCCCAGUCAUGAAUCCCCCGGAGGGGGCAGCGGAGGAAGGAGGAGCAGCCGACUCGGACGUGGAUGCGUUUUUCCGGACAGGACCCCUCAGAACUAAGGCAGCCUCUGCUCCCUGAAGUGAACAAGCUUCUUCCCAUGCUGGUUCUCCAUGCCCCUGAGUCACCUGUGCUCUCCUAUAUAGGCCUACACACCUAUUUGUACCCUCACUCUCAUCUACAGAACUGCACGCCUGCACAAGUUAUGCCCACAGAUGAAGGAUGAUUCUCUCAGUUUGCGAUGGAUUCCCAUGACCACUUCAAUACUUGUCUGCUGGUUUAACCUUGAAGGGACAAAGAAGCACAGACACAUUUUCAAGGACUCCAAACCUCUCGGAAUUUCCAAAGACUCCUAGAGUUGGUCCGGUCCUGUUAGGACUAUACCUGGAACUGUACACCUCAUCUAAGUCUGUCUCUUAAAUAGAGGGUAGCUAGGUAGUAGAGUGGUUAGAGGGUUGGGCCUGGAGUUGGGAAGAUUCAUCUUCCUGAGUUCAAAUCUACCCUCAGACACUAGUUGUGUGACCCUGGGCAAGUCACUUAACCCUGUUUGCCUCAGUUUCCUCAUCUGUAAAAUGAUUUGGAGAAGGAAAUGGCAAACCAGUCUACUAUCUUUGCCAAGAAAACCCCAAAUGGGAUCAUGAAGAGUCAGACAUAACUAAAAACAACACAACAGCAACAGCAAAACUCUUAGUUAGAAGAUAUUCCUUAUCUUAGGACCACAGAGUCAGAGAAUUUUAGAGCUUGAGAUAGUCCAGUCCAGAUUCCUCAUCUUACUGAUGAUUAUAAUAAAAUAAUAAAAUAAAAUAAAAUAAAAUAAAAA
Molecule: long non-coding RNA, 1405 nt
Filed under: Vombatus ursinus (common wombat)
Lineage: Eukaryota; Metazoa; Chordata; Mammalia; Diprotodontia; Vombatidae
Description: lncRNA (ENSVURG00010006776.1)
Source: RNAcentral